This 433-nucleotide ribosomal RNA is filed under the name uncultured bacterium. RNAcentral describes it as "partial 16S ribosomal RNA". It matches the Rfam family "Bacterial small subunit ribosomal RNA", at positions 29 to 507 of the family's 1533-position model. The record is from RNAcentral.
AACGAACGCUGGCGGCAUGCCUAACACAUGCAAGUCGAACGAGACCUUCGGGUCUAGUGGCGCACGGGUGCGUAACGCGUGGGAACCUGCCCUUAGGUUCGGAAUAACUCCCCGAAAGGGGUGCUAAUACCGGAUAAUGUCUUCGGACCAAAGAUUUAUCGCCUUUGGAUGGUCCCGCGUUGGAUUAGCUAGUUGGUAGGGUAAAAGCCUACCAAGGCGCCGAUCCAUAGCUGGUCUGAGAGGAUGAUCAGCCACACUGGGACUGAGACACGGCCCAGACUCCUACGGGAGGCAGCAGUGGGGAAUAUUGGACAAUGGGCGAAAGCCUGAUCCAGCAAUGCCGCGUGAGUGAUGAAGGCCUUAGGGUUGUAAAGCUCUUUUACCCGGGAUGAUAAUGACAGUAGCGGGAGAAUAAGCUCCGGCUAACUCCGUG